AUGAUAACAAGGGGAGAGACCAUGCAAAUGGCGCCGAAGGAGCAACUGAAGAAGUGAAUCUCUCAGGCAAAAAGACUCUUGUUGGACG
RNAcentral lists this non-coding RNA (88 nucleotides) under Priestia koreensis. RNAcentral describes it as "Bacillus koreensis Glycine sequence". It matches the Rfam family "Glycine riboswitch aptamer". From Rfam's summary of the family: This family represents the bacterial glycine riboswitch. Glycine riboswitches usually consist of two metabolite-binding aptamers domains with similar structures in tandem. Lineage: Bacteria; Bacillati; Bacillota; Bacilli; Caryophanales; Bacillaceae. The record is from Rfam by way of RNAcentral.